UACAGAGGAGCCAAGCGUUGUCCGGAUUGACUGGGCGUAAAGCGCACGCAGGCGGAUGCGCGCGUGGGGUGUGAAAUCUGGCCGCUUAACGGCCAGGCGCCAUCCCAUACGGCGCGUCUGGAGUGAUGUAGAGGUCGAUGGAAUUGCCGGUGUAGUGGUGAAAUGCGUAGAGAUCGGCAGGAACACCCAGGGGGAAACCAGUCGACUGGGCAUCUACUGACGCUGAGGUGCGAGAGCGUGGGGAGCGAACCGG
Molecule: ribosomal RNA, 253 nt
Filed under: uncultured bacterium
Lineage: Bacteria
Description: partial 16S ribosomal RNA
Rfam family: Bacterial small subunit ribosomal RNA
Source: RNAcentral